GCCGGGGUGGCUCAGUCUGGCAGAGCGCCGGACUCAUAAUCCGUAGGUCUCGGGUUCGAAUCCCGAUCCCGGCA
RNAcentral lists this transfer RNA (74 nucleotides) under Thermoplasmatales archaeon SW_10_69_26. RNAcentral describes it as "tRNA-Met". It matches the Rfam family "tRNA". Rfam says of the family: Transfer RNA (tRNA) molecules are approximately 80 nucleotides in length. Their secondary structure includes four short double-helical elements and three loops (D, anti-codon, and T loops). Further hydrogen bonds mediate the characteristic L-shaped molecular structure. tRNAs have two regions of fundamental functional importance: the anti-codon, which is responsible for specific mRNA codon recognition, and the 3' end, to which the tRNAs corresponding amino acid is attached (by aminoacyl-tRNA synthetases). tRNAs cope with the degeneracy of the genetic code in two manners: having more than one tRNA (with a specific anti-codon) for a particular amino acid; and 'wobble' base-pairing, i.e. permitting non-standard base-pairing at the 3rd anti-codon position. Lineage: Archaea; Methanobacteriati; Thermoplasmatota; Thermoplasmata; Thermoplasmatales. The record is from RNAcentral.